This 377-nucleotide ribosomal RNA is filed under the name uncultured eukaryote. Its description in RNAcentral is "partial 18S ribosomal RNA". It matches the Rfam family "Eukaryotic small subunit ribosomal RNA", at positions 592 to 976 of the family's 1831-position model. The record is from RNAcentral.
CAAUAGCGUAUAUUUAAGUUGCUGCAGUUAAAAAGCUCGUAGUUGGAUGUCGGGUGGGAAUGGCCGGUCCGCCGUUUCGGUGUGCACUUGCUACGCCCACCUUGCUGCCGGGGACGUGCUCUUGAGUUCACGCUCGGGACACGGAGUCGGCGAGGUUACUUUGAGUAAAUUAGAGUGUUCAAAGCAGGCCUACGCUCUGAAUACAUUAGCAUGGAAUAACACGAUAGGACUCUGGCCUAUCUUGUUGGUCUGUAGGACCGGAGUAAUGAUUAAGAGGGACAGUCGGGGGCAUUCGUAUUUCAUUGUCAGAGGUGAAAUUCUUGGAUUUAUGAAAGACGAACUACUGCGAAAGCAUUUGCCAAGGAUGUUUUCAUUAA